GCGAGGGUAGCGAAGACCGGUCAAACGCGCAGGACUUAAGAUCCUGUCCCUUAGUGGGUUCGGGGGUUCGAAUCCCCUCCCUCGCA
Molecule: transfer RNA, 86 nt
Filed under: Candidatus Woesearchaeota archaeon
Lineage: Archaea; Nanobdellati; Candidatus Woesearchaeota
Description: tRNA-Leu
Rfam family: tRNA
About the family: Transfer RNA (tRNA) molecules are approximately 80 nucleotides in length. Their secondary structure includes four short double-helical elements and three loops (D, anti-codon, and T loops).
Source: RNAcentral